GGAGUUGUGGCUCAGAGCUAGAGCACUCGCCUAGCACGCGUGAGGCACUGGGUUCUAUCCUCAGCACCA
This 69-nucleotide transfer RNA is filed under the name Ictidomys tridecemlineatus (thirteen-lined ground squirrel). RNAcentral describes it as "Spermophilus tridecemlineatus (thirteen-lined ground squirrel) tRNA". It matches the Rfam family "tRNA". Rfam says of the family: Transfer RNA (tRNA) molecules are approximately 80 nucleotides in length. Their secondary structure includes four short double-helical elements and three loops (D, anti-codon, and T loops). Further hydrogen bonds mediate the characteristic L-shaped molecular structure. tRNAs have two regions of fundamental functional importance: the anti-codon, which is responsible for specific mRNA codon recognition, and the 3' end, to which the tRNAs corresponding amino acid is attached (by aminoacyl-tRNA synthetases). tRNAs cope with the degeneracy of the genetic code in two manners: having more than one tRNA (with a specific anti-codon) for a particular amino acid; and 'wobble' base-pairing, i.e. permitting non-standard base-pairing at the 3rd anti-codon position. The record is from Rfam by way of RNAcentral. Lineage: Eukaryota; Metazoa; Chordata; Mammalia; Rodentia; Sciuridae.